GAUGAAGAACGCAGCGAAAUGCGAUACUUGGUGUGAAUUGCAGAAUCCCGUGAACCAUCGAGUCUUUGAACGCAAGUUGCGCCCGAAGCCAUUAGGCCGAGGGCACGCCUGCCUGGGCGUCACACGUCGUUGCCCCCCCAUCUACUCCUUCGGGAUUGCGGGGAGCGGAUGAUGGCCUCCCGUGCGCCUCGUCGCGCGGUUGGCAUAAAUGCCAAGUCCUCGGCGACGCACGCCACGACAAUCGGUGGUUGCGAAACCUCGGUUGCCCGUCGUGUGCGGUCGUCGCGCAUCGAGGGCUCGAAAAAAUUGCCGGGCUCCGGCUCGGCUUUCAACGCGACCCCAGGUCAGGCGGGGUUACCCGCUGAAUUUAAGCAUAUCAAUAAGCGGAGGA
This 391-nucleotide unclassified non-coding RNA is filed under the name soil metagenome. RNAcentral's name for it is "partial contains 5.8S ribosomal RNA, internal transcribed spacer 2, and large subunit ribosomal RNA". The stretch from base 1 to 122 matches the Rfam family "5.8S ribosomal RNA", at positions 35 to 154 of the family's 154-position model. The record is from RNAcentral.